CCGAAAGGGUGACGAAGCGACGCCGCGUGGGUGAGGAGGCCUUCGGGUUGUAAAGCCCUGUCAGGAGUUAAGAAAUGUAAGUGCGCUAAUAUCGCAUUUAUUUGACGAAGGCUCCAAAGGAAGUCACGGCUAACUCUGUGCCAGCAGCCGCGGUAAUACAGAGGUGGCAAGCGUUGUUCGGAAUUAUUGGGCGUAAAGAGCACGUAGGUGGGUUUGUAAGUCAGAUGUGAAAGCCUUCUGUUCAACGGAAGAAUUGCAUCUGAAACUGCGAGUCUUGAGUGUAGGAGGGGAGAAUGGAACUUCUGGUGGAGCGGUGAAAUGCGUAGAUAUCAGAAGGAACGCCGGCGGCGAAAGCGAUUCUCUGGCCUAUUACUGACACUCAGUGUGCGAA
This 391-nucleotide ribosomal RNA is filed under the name uncultured Planctomycetales bacterium. RNAcentral's name for it is "bacterial SSU rRNA". It matches the Rfam family "Bacterial small subunit ribosomal RNA", at positions 375 to 757 of the family's 1533-position model. The record is from RNAcentral. Lineage: Bacteria; Pseudomonadati; Planctomycetota; Planctomycetia; Planctomycetales.